AGCUUGUACAGGUGCUGCAUGGCUGUCGUCAGCUCGUGUCGUGAGAUGUUCGGGUUAAGUCCCGCAACGAGCCGCAACCCCUACGUUUAGUUGCUAACGCGUGAAGGCGAGCACUCUAGACGAACUGACCGUUGCCAAAACGGAGGAAGGUGGGAAUGACGUCAAAUCAUCAUGCCCCUUAUGUUCUGGGCUACACACGUGCUACAAUGGCCGGUACAGACGGACGCAAAGCCACGAGGUGGAGCAAAUCCUAAAAAGCCGGUCUCAGUUCGGAUUGCAGGCUGCAAUUCGCCUGCAUGAAGUCGGAAUCGCUAGUAAUCGCAGGUCAGCAUACUGCGGUGAAUACGUUCUCGGGGUUU
RNAcentral lists this ribosomal RNA (359 nucleotides) under uncultured Bacillus sp. Its description in RNAcentral is "bacterial SSU rRNA". It matches the Rfam family "Bacterial small subunit ribosomal RNA", at positions 1027 to 1382 of the family's 1533-position model. The record is from RNAcentral. Lineage: Bacteria; Bacillati; Bacillota; Bacilli; Caryophanales; Bacillaceae.